Sesamum indicum (sesame) is the source of this 1195-nucleotide non-coding RNA. The record is from RefSeq and is a predicted model, not a curated record. NCBI's taxonomy places the organism in Eukaryota, Viridiplantae, Streptophyta, Magnoliopsida, Lamiales, Pedaliaceae.
UUUAAGUGAUAUGGCUCUUAGUUAAUUUAUUUUGGUUAUAACAAGUAGUUUUCAUUAAUAAUAUAGGAAGUGGCUUGCAUAGUUGUUGGUAGUCGUUUAUCACCUCCACAAAGUUACUCGUAGUAACUCAUAAUGCUUGAAUCAAACUAUCUUUUCAAACAAAAAUAGAAUCCCUUUGUGUGUUUGUGCGGUUGGAACACCCCGGACACUUGUUCAUGGAAACUAGUCUUAUAAUAACACCGUUGCAAUUGAGCACAUCACAGCUGGAAUUGCGUAUAGUAGGCCAGAGAUAUGUAUUGCUUCCUAGGCUUCGAGUUUGUGUAAUACCUAGUGUAGAAACAUUAUUAUUUACUUUAUCUCACGUGGAAAUUAUAUAAAUCUAAAGAGUCUCGUGCUAGUAUUUCUUGAAAUUCUGUUUGAUAAGGAUUUUAUAGUGUAUGAAAGUUAUGAGAAUAUGUGUUCUCCUUAUGCUCAUUAUUCCAAUAAUUGAGUGGAUUCCUUCCCUCGUGCUGUAUUGUUGUUUUGGAGCUUGCCCGAGAAGCUUCCCUUCUAGGAGAUUCGCUACGUCACCAAAACAUUGCUCCCAUCUUUUCAGUGACCAUACUGAAAUAUGUGAGUGGUGGUGGCAUAUUGAUGGCAGCUAGGAUAUUUUUGGAUCCAUUUGUAUUCGUUUGACAUGCCUCUCACACAUUUCUUUGAGUGCUAUUCAAGAGAGGGAAUUUUCAUUGAUAGGGCUUGAUGCCAUCUUAUCACCUACCUACUGAAAUAUGUGAAUUAAUGUGGAUUGAUCCAUUGUUUAUUUUAUAAUCCUAUUUAAAUUGCUGUUUUGAUGAUUCCUUAGGCAUGUGAAGACAAAGCAUCUACAAUGGAUUGUGUGGGACAAAUCCUGAGUCGACAAGAUAAAGAUGGAUGCUAUACAAAAGAGAAAAGAAAGAAUAUGAAACAAUGAAACAAAAGAGAAUAUCGAAGGAGGAGAUACUUCGUCUAAUGGAAGAAAAGAAACAACUAAAAGAAGUGGUUGUCAAUGAUGAAUGGGGAGCUAUUCUAAGCAGGAUGAAAUCUGAACGCUUGAUUGAAGACACAGCUUGAUACUCCACAGAGUUCCUGCACAGUUUCUCAUAGAGAAUUAGAAGGCAUGUGAAGACAAAGCCUGUACAAUGGAUUCUGUGGGUCAAAUCCUGAGUCGGCAAGAUAA